This 759-nucleotide ribosomal RNA is filed under the name uncultured Prevotella sp. RNAcentral describes it as "bacterial SSU rRNA". It matches the Rfam family "Bacterial small subunit ribosomal RNA", at positions 28 to 776 of the family's 1533-position model. The record is from RNAcentral. Lineage: Bacteria; Pseudomonadati; Bacteroidota; Bacteroidia; Bacteroidales; Prevotellaceae.
GAUGAACGCUAGCUACAGGCUUAACACAUGCAAGUCGCAGGGUAACAUGAGGAAAGCUUGCUUUCCUUGAUGACGACUGGCGCACGGGUGAGUAACGCGUAUCCAACCUUCCCAUAACUACGGGAUAACCCGUUGAAAGACGGCCUAAUACCGUAUGAUAUCGUUUGCUGACAUCAAAUAACGAUUAAAGGUUUAGCGGUUAUGGAUGGGGAUGCGUCUGAUUAGCUUGUUGGCGGGGUAACGGCCCACCAAGGCUACGAUCAGUAGGGGUUCUGAGAGGAAGGUCCCCCACAUUGGAACUGAGACACGGUCCAAACUCCUAUGGGAGGCAGCAGUGAGGAAUAUUGGUCAAUGGGCGAGAGCCUGAACCAGCCAAGUAGCGUGCAGGACGACGGCCCUAUGGGUUGUAAACUGCUUUUAUGUGGGGAUAAAGUGCGUGACGUGUCAUGCAUUGCAGGUACCACAUGAAUAAGGACCGGCUAAUUCCGUGCCAGCAGCCGCGGUAAUACGGAAGGUCCGGGCGUUAUCCGGAUUUAUUGGGUUUAAAGGGAGCGUAGGCUGUCUAUUAAGCGUGUUGUGAAAUUUACCGGCUCAACCGGUGGCUUGCAGCGCGAACUGGUCGACUUGAGUAUGCAGGAAGUAGGCGGAAUUCAUGGUGUAGCGGUGAAAUGCUUAGAUAUCAUGACGAACUCCGAUUGCGCAGGCAGCUUACUGUAGCAUAAUUGACGCUGAUGCUCGAAAGUGCGGGUAUCCAACAGG